Molecule: ribosomal RNA, 252 nt
Filed under: uncultured bacterium
Lineage: Bacteria
Description: partial 16S ribosomal RNA
Rfam family: Bacterial small subunit ribosomal RNA
Source: RNAcentral
UACGGAGGAUGCGAGCGUUAUCCGGAUUUAUUGGGUUUAAAGGGUGCGUAGGCGGAUCGUUAAGUCAGUGGUCAAAUUGAGGGGCUCAACCCCUUCCCGCCAUUGAAACUGGCAAUCUUGAGUGGAAGAGAAGUAUGCGGAAUGCGUGGUGUAGCGGUGAAAUGCAUAGAUAUCACGCAGAACCCCGAUUGCGAAGGCAGCAUGCCGGCUUCCGACUGACGCUGAAGCACGAAAGCGUGGGGAUCGAACAGG